ACACGGCUCAUUUUGUGCACCAGCAAAAAACAUAUACCUAUGUCUUGAAUUUGGGGAAAAAAAAUAUUUUAUUCAUCACUAAAGGAGGGUUCGGUGACUGCGCAUAUGAAACUGAUGGGUUCGGUACCUCAAAAAAGGUUAAGAACCACUGGCAUAAAGCCUGAUAAAUUUGGUAGUUCCUCGUCAUAGCACGUUGGUAGCCUGCAUGCUUUGAGCAGACUGAGUCCGUGUUGUUUUAAAUAUUACACACUUUGUGCUCUUAAACCGCCGUAUUGAAGUGUUGUUGUUUUUUUUUUUUGUAGCUCGUGGGGAAAGUCGUCUAACGUGAAUAACUGUUUCGCUGAUAUUGGUGGCGCGUUUAUCGCCAUUUUGCGCGUUGAGCGACUCAAAACCAGCAAAAAGAAUGGCCGAAGCAGACCGACCGGGGAAGCUCUUCAUCGGUGGACUCAACACGGAGACCACCGACAAGGCCUUGGAGCAGUACUUCAGCAAAUAUGGCAGGAUCGUCGAAGGUGGGAAUGGCCCCUCCACAAGUAGAACUCGAUUUUAAUUUUCUACUGAUUUAACACCGCGUGCAAAGCUUAUGUGUUGCUGUAUUUAAUACACACUUAAAGUUUUAUAUUUUUAAUUGUAAUAUUACAGUUUAAUUUGCAUCUUUUCCUUUUGUUUAGCAGUUUUACCAAUACUUAAAAUAAAUACUUUAGACUUUGUAUGAAUUCGGAAUGUUUCAUUUUCACUUUCGAUAGAUAUGAGUGUUUUAUUGUUUGUUUUCAAAAUACUUUGAGGGGCCUUUUGAAAAGCUACAUAAAAGUAGUUACCUACAUAAAAGUAGUUUAUGGAUGUAUAAUUAAAUGCUGAAAUAUUAAGCUAUUUCAUUUUAUUUGCAAAAUUACAUUAAGGAUGCAAUGUUGAAUGCCCGCUUAUCCCCAAUAGUUGCUUAAAAUAGGAACACAGCAUCUAGUUUUCUCAGUGAAUUGUUCAAAUAAAUGACUAAUGAUAAACGACUUGCACCUUUAUCCAGGCAAAUGGUCACAUUUGUUACUACAUAAUCUUUUCAGAAUUGGCCAUGGGUUAAAUAUUCUGUCUUGGUAUAAUAGACAUAGGAUGUUUUUAUUUUAAUUUUUU
Molecule: long non-coding RNA, 1125 nt
Organism: Xiphophorus maculatus (southern platyfish)
Lineage: Eukaryota; Metazoa; Chordata; Actinopteri; Cyprinodontiformes; Poeciliidae
Exons: 2
Source: RefSeq, a predicted model, not a curated record